AGUCAGCUCAAUAAAAAUUGAGCUGAGGAACCAAGAUCUUGAGUCGAAUAAUACUAAGUCGACUCAACAGGUGAACUACAAUAAUUACAUUAAUUUUAGAUCAAAAUAAUUCUAUAUUAACAGUAAUAAAAUUAAUCAUAAAUUAUUUUAGAACUAUUCUAAACAUGUUCAUGAUUCUAGAUUUUAUUUGCAAAGAUUAGAUGCAGCUACUUUUCGUAAAUGUAUUAUAUACACAAUCUUAGGAUUUUGAGAAAAGUAAAGUUUUCUUUUCACAUUCAUCUUUCUGGGAUAUAAUCACAAUGACACCC
RNAcentral lists this long non-coding RNA (308 nucleotides) under Elaeis guineensis (African oil palm). RNAcentral describes it as "long non-coding RNA (EGUI_LNC038187)". The record is from RNAcentral. Lineage: Eukaryota; Viridiplantae; Streptophyta; Magnoliopsida; Arecales; Arecaceae.